CGUACCCCGUUACUUGGAACUGUGGUAAUUCUAGAGCUAAUACAUGCCGACAGAGUUCCGACCAACUGUACAGAUGUGCGACGGCCUCGGUCGUAGUCGCUGUACGGUACGGAAGGAACGCUUUUAUUAGAUCAAAACCGGCCAGACGGCGUAGCGCGUCUACGUCGUAAGCGGCCCGCGCAAAGACUUGGUGACUCUGAAUAACUUCGAGCUGAUCGCACGGUCCUCGUACCGGCGACGUAUCUUUCAAAUGUCUGCCUUAUCAACUGUCGACGGUAGGUUCGACGCCUACCGUGGUGGUAACGGGUAACGGGGAAUCAGGGUUCGAUUCCGGAGAGGGAGCCUGAGAAACGGCUACCACAUCCAAGGAAGGCAGCAGGCGCGCAAAUUACCCACUCCCAGCUCGGGGAGGUAGUGACGAAAAAUAACGAUACGGGACUCAUUAGAGGCCCCGUAAUCG
This 460-nucleotide ribosomal RNA is filed under the name Phenacoccus solenopsis (Solenopsis mealybug). RNAcentral describes it as "bacterial SSU rRNA". It matches the Rfam family "Eukaryotic small subunit ribosomal RNA", at positions 126 to 511 of the family's 1831-position model. The record is from RNAcentral. Lineage: Eukaryota; Metazoa; Arthropoda; Insecta; Hemiptera; Pseudococcidae.